RNAcentral lists this long non-coding RNA (302 nucleotides) under Carica papaya (papaya). RNAcentral describes it as "long non-coding RNA (CPAP_LNC002253)". Lineage: Eukaryota; Viridiplantae; Streptophyta; Magnoliopsida; Brassicales; Caricaceae. The record is from RNAcentral.
GACGCGUGAAAUUGAGAAAGAUUAAUGAACUUCGAGAAUCACCGUUGUCCUAGAUGACAUUCUUUUUUAGCUAGAAUAAAUGUCCAAAAAUAAUUUGAAAACCAACAAACACUGAUUAAAAAAAACAUUUGAAUUUAUGAGACACACUCUUAGCAACAAUACUUUGUUUAUGGGAGUUAGAAGAAAAAGUGACUACUAACUAAAAAGAUCCCACCAAUAACAACAUUAUAACGAAACCAUUAGGUUGAAGAGGUACUUGGAAAUGAAUUAGGAUGUCUUCAAACCACCUAGUCAUUACAAAU